UAAUCAUAUGAGGGCCAAAUCUAAAUCAGGAAUUAUCACUCGGUCAAAUAACCAUAAUACAUGUCUCUCUAAUUCUCCUGAACGCCUUAUUUGAGGCUGGCAGCCGAUGAAAAUAGCUUGCAAAAAUCCAUAAAACAUGACAUCUAGGGAUUAAAACCCCUAGCAAAACAUGCAAAACUGAGCUGGUACAAUACCUUAAAACCAAAGACUCUAACUCGCAUUGGCGAAGUCGAUCCCCUUCUGGAUUGAAGCCUUGAGCUCGGACUUAAGAGCUUCUAAACCCUGCUUCUCAAAGUCGGAGAGGGUACCCAAACCAAGAACCUCCUCUACACCAUUCUUCCCCAGCCUCACCUUGGAGGCAAAGAAAGGUAGCUCAGUAAUGCUUGAUUGCACAAAAGCACAUUCCACAAUAUCAGGAGCCCCAUUAAGGCCCUUCAAACAUGAAUCUGCAAAGAUGGCACCAGCAUAGGCCAUAGACAAGGUGGCAGAUCCUUUCCCAGCUUUUGCUUCAACCACUUCAGUCCCGCCGUCUUGUGUUCUCUUUGUAAGAGCUUUUAUCACCUCAUCGGACAAAUUGCUUGCUGGAGUUGCCUGAGAAAAGAGUGGCAAAAUGGUUAUACCAGCAUGCCCACCAACAACAGGGACAUUUACAUCAGCAACUGGGACGUUCGCUUUCCCAGCAUAGAAAGUCUUUGCCCGAACAACAUCAAGCAUGGUCACACCAAACAGCUUCUUCUCAUCAUAAGUCCCCGCCUUCUUGAACACCUCUGCCGCGAUUGGCACAGUUGAGUUCACAGGGUUGCUUAUCAUGUUAACCAGAGCAUUGGGGCAGUACUUGGCUAUGGCAGUACACAGUCCCUUCACAAUCCCGGCAUUGAUAUUAAACAGGUCGUCCCGGGUCAUCCCAGGCUUGCGAGGCACCCCGGCCGGGAUGAUGACAAUGUCAGAGCCAUCCAAAGCCUCCCCAAGCUGCUCCUCCGUCAUGUAGCCUUUCACCUCGGCGCGGGUGUUGAUGUGGCUGACAUCGGCGGCGACGCCAGGGGUUCCGGCGAUAUCGUAGAGGGAGAGGUGGGAGACGAGGGGAUUGAGCUUCAUGAGGAGGGAGAGCGGCUGGCCGAUGCCGCCGGCGGCGCCGAGCACAGCUACCUUGCGGGACGGUGGAUCGGAGUGGAAGGAUCGGCGAGCGAGGUGGGCAGAGGGGCGCUCGACGGCGCGGCGGAGCGCGGAUCCGGCCGAUCUGAGCAUGAUGAGAGCUUCGAUGGGAUCGAGAUCGGAG
This 1276-nucleotide unclassified non-coding RNA is filed under the name Hevea brasiliensis (rubber tree). Lineage: Eukaryota; Viridiplantae; Streptophyta; Magnoliopsida; Malpighiales; Euphorbiaceae. The record is from RNAcentral.